RNAcentral lists this ribosomal RNA (635 nucleotides) under Nipponaetes haeussleri. RNAcentral's name for it is "eukaryotic LSU rRNA". It matches the Rfam family "Eukaryotic large subunit ribosomal RNA", at positions 420 to 809 of the family's 3401-position model. Lineage: Eukaryota; Metazoa; Arthropoda; Insecta; Hymenoptera; Ichneumonidae. The record is from RNAcentral.
CCUGAGAAACCCGAAAGUUCGAAUGGGGAGAUUCAUCGUUAGCGUUGGUGGCGUGUGCGAGUUGCGAUGCCGGAGAUCUCGGUCUCACGUCACGCUUCUUGUAUACUUUGUCACUAUCGUCGGCGUGCACUUCUCCCCUAGUAGGACGUCGCGACCCGUUGGGUGUCGGUCUACGGCCCGGGUGGUAGACUGUCACGUGUGCGCUUCACGGCGUUACGCGGGGCAGACCCCUGUGUGUCUGGCCGACUGCUCGGCGGUACUCGUACGGUAUUUGGCCGCAACUCGAACUGCGUCCGGCCCGUCGCAAGCGUGGCAAGUGUUCCCUGUCGUACGGAUCUGAUGCCGUUGGCGGGCCUUACCGGCUGUUGGUUGACGGUGUCCUAGGACUGGCCACUAUAUUUACCGGUCGGCGACGCUACUGCUUUGGGUACUUUCAGGACCCGUCUUGAAACACGGACCAAGGAGUCUAACAUGUGCGCGAGUCAUUGGGAACUCUUAAGCCUAAAGGCGCAAUGAAAGUGAAGGUCGUCCUUGCGUCGACCGAGGGAGGAUGGGCCGCGUUUAACUAUGCGGUCCCGCACUCCCAGGGCGUCUCGUUCUCAUUGCGAGAUGAGGCGCACCUAGAGCGUACACGU